RNAcentral lists this ribosomal RNA (719 nucleotides) under Alexandrium minutum. RNAcentral's name for it is "LSU rRNA". It matches the Rfam family "Eukaryotic large subunit ribosomal RNA", at positions 22 to 671 of the family's 3401-position model. The record is from RNAcentral. Lineage: Eukaryota; Dinophyceae; Gonyaulacales; Pyrocystaceae.
UUACCCGCUGRAUUUAAGCAUAUAAGUAGGCGGUGGAAAAUGAACCAAAUGGGAUUCCUUAAGUAAUUGCGAAUGAACAAGGAAAUGCUCAGCUUGAAAAAUGGGGCCUUUGGCUUUGAAUUGUAAUUUUGAAAUGUAUUGCCAAUGGAGGCGCAGGUGCAAGCCUAUUGAAAGAAAGCGUCAAUGAGGGUGAGAUUCCUUUUUGUCAUUUGCAGUCCUCCGUGCACGGUAUAUAUUUGACGAGUCACACUCCUCGGCAUUGGAAUGCAAAGUGGGUGGUAAAUUCCAUGUAAAGGUAAAUAUAUUAUUGAGACUGAUAGCAAACAAGUACCAUGAGGGAAAUAUGAAAAGGACUUUGAAAAGAGAAUUAAAAGAGUCUGCAUUUGCUGAACAGAAAGCAAACAGAAUUGAUUUUACUUGGUGAGAUUGUUGUGCUUACUCUAUCAUUUAUAUGGUUGAUGUGGGUGCGAUGGUUCUUACCUUGAAUGUCAGCUUCUAUUUCUGCAAAUCAUUACCCUUGCACAUGAAUGGUAAUUUGCCUGCGGGUAUUGGAAUGCAUGUGUUUGCAAUGAUUUGUGAUUUGACGCAUGUGUUUGGUGAAAUUUGUAUAUGCUCUUUUGUCGAAGGGGAAAGCUUACUUUUUUGAGCAUUGCAAGCCCUUACACAUCAGUGCUGGCAAAAUGUUUCUGCUUGACCCGUCUUGAAACACGGGACCAAGG